CCUACGGGUGACAGCAGUGAGGAAUAUUGGUCAAUGGACGAGAGUCUGAACCAGCCAAGCAGCGUGAAGGAUGACUGCCCUAUGGGUUGUAAACUUCUUUUAUACAGGAAUAAAAUGAGGCACGUGUGCCUUUCUGCAUGUACUUUAUGAAUAAGGAUCGGCUAACUCCGUGCCAGCAGCCGCGGUAAUACGGAGGAUCCGAGCGUUAUCCGGAUUUAUUGGGUUUAAAGGGAGCGUAGAUGGGUUGUUAAGUCAGUUGUGAAAGUUUGCGGCUCAACCGUAAAAUUGCCAUUGAUACUGGCAGGCUUGAGUACAGUUGAGGUAGGCGGAAUGCGUGGUGUAGCGGUGAAAUGCUUAGAGAUCACAAAGAACCCCGAUUGCGAAGGCAGCUUACUAAGCUGUGACUGACAUUGAUGCUCGAAAGUGUGGGUAUCAAACAGGAUUAGAUACCCGGGUAGUC
Molecule: ribosomal RNA, 460 nt
Filed under: uncultured bacterium
Lineage: Bacteria
Description: partial 16S ribosomal RNA
Rfam family: Bacterial small subunit ribosomal RNA
Source: RNAcentral